Molecule: ribosomal RNA, 715 nt
Filed under: uncultured Bacteroidales bacterium
Lineage: Bacteria; Pseudomonadati; Bacteroidota; Bacteroidia; Bacteroidales
Description: bacterial SSU rRNA
Rfam family: Bacterial small subunit ribosomal RNA
Source: RNAcentral
GUCGAGGGGCAGCAUGGUCUUAGCUUGCUAAGGCUGAUGGCGACCGGCGCACGGGUGAGUAACACGUAUCCAACCUGCCGUCUACUCUUGGCCAGCCUUCUGAAAGGAAGAUUAAUCCAGGAUGGCAUCAUGAGUUCACAUGUCCGCAUGAUUAAAGGUAUUUUCCGGUAGACGAUGGGGAUGCGUUCCAUUAGAUAGUAGGCGGGGUAACGGCCCACCUAGUCAACGAUGGAUAGGGGUUCUGAGAGGAAGGUCCCCCACAUUGGAACUGAGACACGGUCCAAACUCCUACGGGAGGCAGCAGUGAGGAAUAUUGGUCAAUGGGCGAUGGCCUGAACCAGCCAAGUAGCGUGAAGGAUGACUGCCCUAUGGGUUGUAAACUUCUUUUAUAAAGGAAUAAAGUCGGGUAUGCAUACCCGUUUGCAUGUACUUUAUGAAUAAGGAUCGGCUAACUCCGUGCCAGCAGCCGCGGUAAUACGGAGGAUCCGAGCGUUAUCCGGAUUUAUUGGGUUUAAAGGGAGCGUAGAUGGAUGUUUAAGUCAGUUGUGAAAGUUUGCGGCUCAACCGUAAAAUUGCAGUUGAUACUGGAUGUCUUGAGUGCAGUUGAGGCAGGCGGAAUUCGUGGUGUAGCGGUGAAAUGCUUAGAUAUCACGAAGAACUCCGAUUGCGAAGGCAGCCUGCUAAGCUGCAACUGACAUUGAGGCUCGAAAGUGUG